This 447-nucleotide ribosomal RNA is filed under the name uncultured bacterium. RNAcentral's name for it is "SSU rRNA". It matches the Rfam family "Bacterial small subunit ribosomal RNA", at positions 26 to 518 of the family's 1533-position model. The record is from RNAcentral.
AGAACGAACGCUGGCGGCAGGCUUAACACAUGCAAGUCGAACGCUCGUAGCAAUACGGGAGUGGCAGACGGGUGAGUAACGCGUGGGAACAUACCCUCCGGUUCGGAAUAGCUCAGGGAAACUUGGAUUAAUACCGGAUACGGCUGAGAGGCGAAAGAUUUAUCGCCGGAGGAUUGGCCCGCGUUCGAUUAGCUUGUUGGUGAGGUAACGGCUCACCAAGGCGAUGAUCGAUAGCUGGUCUGAGAGGAUGAUCAGCCACAUUGGGACUGAGACACGGCCCAAACUCCUACGGGAGGCAGCAGUGGGAAUAUUGGACAAUGGGCGCAAGCCUGAUCCAGCCAUGCCGCGUGAGUGAUGACGGCCUUAGGGUUGUAAAGCUCUUUCGCUCGGGACGAUAAUGACGGUACCGAGAUAAGAAGCCCCGGCUAACUUCGUGCCAGCAGCCGC